Long non-coding RNA from Zea mays, 991 nucleotides. RefSeq lists it as uncharacterized. Lineage: Eukaryota; Viridiplantae; Streptophyta; Magnoliopsida; Poales; Poaceae. The record is from RefSeq and is a predicted model, not a curated record. The transcript has 2 exons.
AACUACUUGAUUCAUGGUUUCUGUUGGGUUUGAACUCUAGUCUAUCUAACUUGCUUGGGAGUUGGGACUAAAAAGGCUUUGUUGUUAUUGUUGUUUUUAUUGAUAUGAUUGGGAUCAUCUAGUUACAAUAUUAUUUUUGUUAUACGCAAUUAUUUUUGUACAUGCUUAAACUGUCCAAUUUAUAGUUGUAAUACUUGAUGUUUCGUGGUGAAAAAAUUGCUUUUGUGGCAGUCAUGCGAUUUUGAGGUAUCUUGCAUCGGUUUUCCCUGGAGUUGCUGACCACUGGUAUCCUGCUGACUUGUUCACCAGAGCCAAAAUUGAGUCAAUCUUGGAUUGGCAUCACUCAAAUUUGCGGCGUGGUGCAGCAACCCUUGUAAUGCACACUGCAUUGGCUCCCUUCCUUGGUCUUACGACAAGUCAUGAGGCUGUGAAACAAGCAGAGAAGCUUGUGAUGCAGUCACUGGGGGUGAUCGAAUCGGUAUGGCUGAAAGGCGAUGCCAAGUUCUUGCUAGGUAGCCCCCAGCCAUCGAUUGCAGAUCUGAGCCUUGUCUGUGAGAUAAUGCAGUUGGAGGUAUGCAUGCUUACUGCUUGCUGCUGCUGCUGCUAUCCAGAUCCAGCGAUGAUGAGCCCUUGUAUGUUUGCAGAUGUUUGGCGAUGAGGUCCGUGACCGAUUCCUGGGAGCUCAUGAGAGGAUCCUUGUCUGGAUGGACAAGGUGAAGAAAGCCACGAGCCCUCAUUUUGAGGAAGCCCACGAGCUCCUUUUCCAAGUGAAGAAGGCACGCAUGGUGCAAGGCAGCAGCAGCAAGGCUUUUGAGCCGAGACAAAGCUCAAAACAGCAUCAAAGCUCUGACGACCAAAGGCAGAAUAAGCGACAGACAGACAGACAGAUCGAUCUUGUGAUAUAAUAUAAUAAACGGGAACUAUUAUUAAUUACUGUUGGUAUUAAUUACACUUAUUCCAGAAGGCCACAAGUGCUUCGUUGCACUUAUUU